UAAACCUAAAUAAAGGAGCAGAGCAGGCUUUAUUCUUUGAUCUCAUUUGUAUUCACUGGGAGCUCACUAUGUGUCAAGAUUUGGGGUACAGAAGUGCACGAGAAUUUAUGGUCAAGUUAAGAAGAGACUGAUGAUGAACAGAAACGUACCAUGACAUACUUUGGUGACUACAAUGAAAAAGUAGCGUGAGGGAAUAUUCUUUCAAUAAAAGUUUAUUUAAUGCCUACUAUGUAGGGGGAAGGUAAAUAGUUGGGGAGUAGUCCUGGAAGGACUUUAUAUCUAAUCUGAGGAAUUUAUAUUUAGUCUAAGACCUGAAGGAUGAGUCCAAGUGAAGCAGGAGAGAUGGGCACUGUUUCCUAAAAUGCGGGAUAAAUAAGCCAUUUGGGAUAAAUGAAAGGAUCCAAGGAUGCAUAUAUCGGUCAUUAAAUAACACUGAAAGGCAGGAGUGAAGGCUUCACUUUCCAAAUAUCAUCCAAAGAAAGAAAUGGGAAAAGACUCAAAGUGAAAUGGUUUGCCUAAGGCCACAGAAAGGGUUGAUGACAGAGGAAGAAGAAUUACUCAAGCUUUCCUAAUUCCUACCUCAGCCCUUCUUUCU
This is a long non-coding RNA of Camelus dromedarius (Arabian camel), 595 nucleotides long. RefSeq lists it as uncharacterized. NCBI's taxonomy places the organism in Eukaryota, Metazoa, Chordata, Mammalia, Artiodactyla, Camelidae. The transcript has 3 exons. The record is from RefSeq and is a predicted model, not a curated record.